This 301-nucleotide ribosomal RNA is filed under the name uncultured bacterium. Its description in RNAcentral is "partial 16S ribosomal RNA". It matches the Rfam family "Bacterial small subunit ribosomal RNA", at positions 509 to 807 of the family's 1533-position model. The record is from RNAcentral.
CAGCAGCCGCGGGAACACGAAGGGGGCUAGCGUUGCUCGGAAUCACUGGGCGUAAAGGGUGCGUAGGCGGGUCUUUAAGUCAGGGGUGAAAUCCUGGAGCUCAACUCCAGAACUGCCUUUGAUACUGAAGAUCUUGAGUUCGGGAGAGGUGAGUGGAACUGCGAGUGUAGAGGUGAAAUUCGUAGAUAUUCGCAAGAACACCAGUGGCGAAGGCGGCUCACUGGCCCGAUACUGACGCUGAGGUACGAAAGCGUGGGGAGCAAACAGGAUUAGAUACCCGCGUAGUCCCUGUCUCUUAUAC